RNAcentral lists this unclassified non-coding RNA (218 nucleotides) under uncultured fungus. RNAcentral describes it as "sequence contains ITS1, 5.8S rRNA gene". The stretch from base 170 to 218 matches the Rfam family "5.8S ribosomal RNA", at positions 1 to 49 of the family's 154-position model. The record is from RNAcentral. Lineage: Eukaryota; Fungi.
UUUCCGUAGGUGAACCUGCGGAAGGAUCAUUACAUUCAGUAGCCUAGCUACUUGUUUACACCCUUGUUUUUGCGUACCUAUUGUUUCCUCGGCGGGCACGCCCGCCAAUGGGGACCACAAAGAAACCUCUUGCAGUUGCAGUAAACGUCAAAAACAAAACAAAAAUCAAAACUUUCAACAACGGAUCUCUUGGUUCUGGCAUCGAUGAAGAACGCAGC